RNAcentral lists this ribosomal RNA (254 nucleotides) under uncultured bacterium. RNAcentral's name for it is "partial 16S ribosomal RNA". It matches the Rfam family "Bacterial small subunit ribosomal RNA", at positions 524 to 776 of the family's 1533-position model. The record is from RNAcentral.
CACGUAGGGGGCAAGCGUUGUCCGGAUUUAUUGGGCGUAAAGAGCUCGUAGGCGGCUCAGUUAGUCGGGUGUGAAACCCCCGGGCUCAACCCGGGGACGCCACCCGAUACUGCUGUGGCUAGAGUCCGGAAGAGGAGAGUGGAAUUCCUGGUGUAGCGGUGAAAUGCGCAGAUAUCAGGAAGAACACCCGUGGCGAAGGCGGCUCUCUGGGACGGUACUGACGCUGAGACGCGAAAGCGUGGGGAGCGAACAGG